This 1517-nucleotide long non-coding RNA is filed under the name Phaseolus vulgaris (common bean). RNAcentral's name for it is "long non-coding RNA (PVUL_LNC004727)". The record is from RNAcentral. Lineage: Eukaryota; Viridiplantae; Streptophyta; Magnoliopsida; Fabales; Fabaceae.
ACUCAACCCGAUAAGAACAAGGGUAAUAUUAGUUUUCCAUGAUUUUCGAUAAACUAUAUUUUUUAUUAUUUCUUUAACAAGUAUUUCUGAACACGUCUGUGCAAAAACAAAAAAACCCUACAUAUGUUUAUCGAAAAAGGGUUUUAAAUAACCAGAGAGAGAUGAGAAUUGAAAAAAAAAAAAGAAUAUAGACAAUAUUAUGUCCAGAUGCAGUUUAUAGUUGAUGAGAGGUGGGUGGAUAAAGAGUAAAGAGUGUGAAAGAAAGGAAGGGUGAAGGGUGGCGCGGCGUGGCGAACCGUGAUUCUGGACAAGGCAUCAAUAGCGGACACCUAAGUCAACUCCACGUUAUGUUUUUUGAGGUUUUUUAGGUAAAACGGUAGCGGCUCGUCUCGUCACUGCUCGCCCCUUCGACCCCACACCAAAUCUAUAUUAAUUAUGAAACUUGUCUUUUCUUAAUACCCUUCCUUAAUACCACUACAUAUUUUAAUAAUACUUUUUCUUUAUUUUAAAUCAUUUUGUUACUUUCAUAAAUAUUUUCAAAUAUGGUUUAAUGUUUUAGCUUGACACCCGAAAUUUCUUUACAGUUAACUUUUCAUAUAUUCUCUAGUAGAGAGAAACUGUCGUGUUUCUUUAUUCUAACUAAUUUAAGAAAUAAAAUUUAAUAAGUACGAUUUUAUAUUGCUUUUAAGAUUGGAUAAUAAAUGCAUUAUCUCAUUUCAUUUCCGUUCUGGAUGAUGAUGAUGUAAUAAAAAAUAUAAAAUGAUAUGCAUAGAUAAGAAUAUUAAAAAUGAACAGCCAUUUCUUUUUUAAUUUAAACCGUGAAAUUGACGAAUUAAUUUUUUAUUAGAAGGUAGUAGCCACGAGCAAGCAUAAAAGACAACUCUAAAUGGAUCUGAAACGUCCUUACGAAUACCAAACGGGAUCGUUUUAAAGUGCGCCUCUUCGUCAUUCACAAAAAAUUAGUAAUUCCCCGUUUAAUAAUAAUAAUAAUCUUAAGAAAAAAAAUGUUUUCCAAUAUUUAAUUUUUUAUCCAUCUUUGUCAAUUUAUUUAUUCGUUCUAUGGAUUAUAUUUUAACAGUAAAUAAUUUAGUAGUAUAUAUUAACGUCAUUUCGUUUUGACUUGUAUUAGGUACAGCAUUGAGUUGAGAAACGGAACAGUUUUUGGAGAAAACGGGAAAGUGAAGAAGACGCGCUGGAGUAGAAGGUGUGAUGGACGCGCAGGAGCAAGACAGGAAUUUGCAUAGUAAAAUAUGUGGGUGUGGUGUGAAUUUCUAAACCCCGUUUGUUCCAUUUAGGAGAAUAAGCAUGGAAAGAAGAAGAGAGUAAUGGUUGUGGAUAGCUUUGUGUGUGAGUGCGUCCUUUUUAUUCUCUUGUCCUCUGCUACUGCCUUUACAACAAAAAUAAUACUAAUAUUUUAUUUCUCCCUCAACACAUUUUAUUUUAUUUUAUAACAAAUUAAAUUCCCAUUAUUUUUCUUCAAAAUACUCUAUUAAAAUUCUUAAUAUAGGCAUAAAGGC